Molecule: transfer RNA, 83 nt
Filed under: Camelus dromedarius (Arabian camel)
Lineage: Eukaryota; Metazoa; Chordata; Mammalia; Artiodactyla; Camelidae
Also listed under: 1 other name
Rfam family: tRNA
About the family: Transfer RNA (tRNA) molecules are approximately 80 nucleotides in length.
Source: Rfam by way of RNAcentral
GAGACUAUAGCUCAGUGGUAGAGUACAUGUACAGUGCAUGUUUAGCACACAUGAGGUCCUGGGUUCGAUCCCUAGUACCUCCA